AUUCAGAUAUCGACGCUAUGAGUAUGUAUCGUACAAGGAAAGGAGAAUUAAUGUUCUUUCAUUGUAGAAUUGUUCACUGUGAAAAAUUUAAAAUGUAUACGAACUGCCUGCAAGAUUUACUGACGAUCACAUUUUGCAAGAACCGCAGAAGCGGAUUUUUCAUCGUCAUUUGCAUUCAUUUCGUAUAAUUAUAUACAAACCACAACUCUCCAGC
Molecule: long non-coding RNA, 214 nt
Filed under: Mytilus galloprovincialis (Mediterranean mussel)
Lineage: Eukaryota; Metazoa; Mollusca; Bivalvia; Mytilida; Mytilidae
Source: RNAcentral